RNAcentral lists this transfer RNA (71 nucleotides) under bacterium. RNAcentral describes it as "tRNA-Gly". It matches the Rfam family "tRNA". From Rfam's summary of the family: Transfer RNA (tRNA) molecules are approximately 80 nucleotides in length. The record is from RNAcentral.
GCGGGUGUAGCACAGUGGUAGUGCAGUUGGUUGCCAAUCAACGUACACGGGUUCGAUCCCCGUCACCCGCU